This 634-nucleotide ribosomal RNA is filed under the name Thaxterogaster montanus. RNAcentral describes it as "eukaryotic LSU rRNA". It matches the Rfam family "Eukaryotic large subunit ribosomal RNA", at positions 1 to 621 of the family's 3401-position model. Lineage: Eukaryota; Fungi; Basidiomycota; Agaricomycetes; Agaricales; Cortinariaceae. The record is from RNAcentral.
GUGACCUCAAAUCAGGUAGGACUACCCGCUGAACUUAAGCAUAUCAAUAAGCGGAGGAAAAGAAACUAACAAGGAUUCCCCUAGUAACUGCGAGUGAAGUGGGAAAAGCUCAAAUUUAAAAUCUGGCAGUCUCUGGCUGUCCGAGUUGUAAUCUAGAGAAGUGUUAUCCGCGCUGGACCGUGUACAAGUCUCCUGGAAUGGAGCGUCAUAGAGGGUGAGAAUCCCGUCUUUGACACGGACUGCCAGGGCUUUGUGAUGCGCUCUCAAAGAGUCGAGUUGUUUGGGAAUGCAGCUCAAAAUGGGUGGUAAAUUCCAUCUAAAGCUAAAUAUUGGCGAGAGACCGAUAGCGAACAAGUACCGUGAGGGAAAGAUGAAAAGAACUUUGGAAAGAGAGUUAAACAGUACGUGAAAUUGCUGAAAGGGAAACGCUUGAAGUCAGUCGCGUUGGUCAGGGAUCAACCUUGCUUUUGCUAGGUGUACUUUCUGGUUGACGGGUCAGCAUCAAUUUUGAUCAUUGGAAAAAGAUUAGGGGAAUGUGGCAUCCUUGGAUGUGUUAUAGCCCUUGGUUGUAUACAAUGGUUGGGAUUGAGGAGCUCAGCACGCCGCAAGGCCGGGUUUACCACGUACGUGCUAG